CGCCGCGUGAGUGAUGAAGGUUUUCGGAUCGUAAAGCUCUGUUGUUAGGGAAGAACAAGUGCAAGAGUAACUGCUUGCACCUUGACGGUACCUAACCAGAAAGCCACGGCUAACUACGUGCCAGCAGCCGCGGUAAUACGUAGGUGGCAAGCGUUGUCCGGAAUUAUUGGGCGUAAAGGGCUCGCAGGCGGUUUCUUAAGUCUGAUGUGAAAGCCCCCGGCUCAACCGGGGAGGGUCAUUGGAAACUGGGAAA
This 253-nucleotide ribosomal RNA is filed under the name Bacillus pumilus. Its description in RNAcentral is "partial 16S ribosomal RNA". It matches the Rfam family "Bacterial small subunit ribosomal RNA", at positions 395 to 640 of the family's 1533-position model. Lineage: Bacteria; Bacillati; Bacillota; Bacilli; Caryophanales; Bacillaceae. The record is from RNAcentral.